Molecule: long non-coding RNA, 319 nt
Filed under: Olea europaea (common olive)
Lineage: Eukaryota; Viridiplantae; Streptophyta; Magnoliopsida; Lamiales; Oleaceae
Description: long non-coding RNA (OEUR_LNC005203)
Source: RNAcentral
AGAAGGAAGAAAGAAGAGAGAAAAAUCAAGAAAUUGCGCGAAAAAAAAUGAAACCGGGUAUUUUAAAAAGUGACCUGUCGCUCGAGCGAGGAUCUAGCGAGACUCGGGCGACAAGCAAACUGUUUUUAUCGCUCGAGCGAAGACCAGGCGAGACUCUAGCGAAACACCAAAUGUCAAAAAUAGCACUAAAAAUUUGAAUUUUGAGAAAAAUGACAUAAUCUUCAAGAAAUGACGAAAUUAGCCCCAAAUCGUGAAAUUUCAAAAAUAAGUGAACUACGUAAUAGUGGAAAAUAAUCCAAAAAAAAAUAGCAUGGAACCA